This 538-nucleotide ribosomal RNA is filed under the name fungal sp. NIS7. RNAcentral's name for it is "eukaryotic LSU rRNA". The stretch from base 163 to 316 matches the Rfam family "5.8S ribosomal RNA". The record is from RNAcentral. Lineage: Eukaryota; Fungi.
AUCAAAAAAAAAAAUAUGAAGGCUUCGGCUGGAUUAUUUAUUUCACCCUUGUCUUUUGCGCACUUGUUGUUUCCUGGGCGGGUUCGCCCGCCACCAGGACCACACCAUAAACCUUUUUUGUUAAUGCAGUCAGCGUCAGUACAACAAAUGUAAAUCAUUUACAACUUUCAACAACGGAUCUCUUGGUUCUGGCAUCGAUGAAGAACGCAGCGAAAUGCGAUACGUAGUGUGAAUUGCAGAAUUCAGUGAAUCAUCGAAUCUUUGAACGCACAUUGCGCCCUUUGGUAUUCCAAAGGGCAUGCCUGUUCGAGCGUCAUUUGUACCCUCAAGCUUUGCUUGGUGUUGGGCGUUUUGUCUUUGCUCGCCAAAGACUCGCCUUAAAACGAUUGGCAGCCGACCUCUUGGUUUCGCAGCGCAGCACAAUUUUGCGCUUGCAAAUCAGCAAGUUGGCACUCCAUCAAGAACAUUUUCUUACGUUUGACCUCGGAUCAGGUAGGGAUACCCGCUGAACUUAAGCAUAUCAAUAAGCGGAGGAACU